GAUGAACGCUGGCGGCGUGCCUAAUACAUGCAAGUCGAGCGAACAGACGAGGAGCUUGCUCCUCUGACGUUAGCGGCGGACGGGUGAGUAACACGUGGAUAACCUACCUAUAUGACUGGGAUAACUUCGGGAAACCGGAGCUAAUACCGGAUAAUAUAUUGAACCGCAUGGUUCAAUAGUGAAAGACGGUUUUGCUGUCACUUAUAGAUGGAUCCGCGCCGCAUUAGCUAGUUGGUAAGGUAACGGCUUACCAAGGCAACGAUGCGUAGCCGACCUGAGAGGGUGAUCGGCCACACUGGAGCUGAGACACGGUCCAGACUCCUACGGGAGGCAGCAGUAGGGAAUCUUCCGCAAUGGGCGAAAGCCUGACGGAGCAACGCCGCGUGAGUGAUGAAGGUCUUCGGAGCGUAAAACUCUGUUAUUAGGGAAGAACAAAUGUGUAAGUAACUAUGCACGUCUUGACGGUACCUAAUCAGAAAGCCACGGCUAACUACGUG
RNAcentral lists this ribosomal RNA (497 nucleotides) under uncultured bacterium. RNAcentral describes it as "partial 16S ribosomal RNA". It matches the Rfam family "Bacterial small subunit ribosomal RNA", at positions 28 to 507 of the family's 1533-position model. The record is from RNAcentral.